GAAUGCCGGUGUGAGUAGCGAAAGACGGGUGAGAAUCCCGUCCACCGAUUGACUAAGGUUUCCAGAGGAAGGCUCGUCCGCUCUGGGUUAGUCGGGUCCUAAGCUGAGGCCGACAGGCGUAGGCGAUGGAUAACAGGUUGAUAUUCCUGUACCACCUAUAAUCGUUUUAAUCGAUGGGGGGACGCAGUAGGAUAGGCGAAGCGUGCGAUUGGAUUGCACGUCUAAGCAGUAAGGCUGAGUAUUAGGCAAAUCCGGUACUCAUUAAGGCUGAGCUGUGAUGGGGAGAAGACAUUGUGUCUUCGAGUCGUUGAUUUCACACUGCCGAGAAAAGCCUCUAGAUAGAAAAUAGGUGCCCGUACCGCAAACCGACACAGGUAGUCAAGAUGAGAAUUCUAAGGUGAGCGAGCGAACUCUCGUUAAGGAACUCGGCAAAAUGACCCCGUAACUUCGGGAGAAG
Molecule: ribosomal RNA, 457 nt
Filed under: Staphylococcus aureus
Lineage: Bacteria; Bacillati; Bacillota; Bacilli; Caryophanales; Staphylococcaceae
Description: partial 23S ribosomal RNA
Rfam family: Bacterial large subunit ribosomal RNA
Source: RNAcentral